GACGAACGCUGGCGGCGUGCUUAACACAUGCAAGUCGAACGGAAAGGCCCUGCUUGCAGGGUGCUCGAGUGGCGAACGGGUGAGUAACACGUGGGUGAUCUGCCCCUUACUUUGGGAUAAGCCUGGGAAACUGGGUCUAAUACUGGAUAGGACCAUGCUGUAGGUGGUGUGGUGGAAAGAUUAGUUUCGGUAAGGGAUGAGCUCGCGGCCUAUCAGCUUGUUGGUGGGGUAAUGGCCUACCAAGGCGUCGACGGGUAGCCGGCCUGAGAGGGUGGACGGCCACAUUGGGACUGAGAUACGGCCCAGAAUCCUGCGGGAGGCAGCAGUGGGGAAUAUUGCACAAUGGGCGCAAGCCGGAUGCAGAGACGCCGCGUGGGGGAUGACGGCCUUCGGGUUGUAAACUCCUUUCAGCCAUGACGAAGCCCUUGUGGUGACGGUAGUGGUAGAAGAAGCACCGGCUAACUACGUG
Molecule: ribosomal RNA, 469 nt
Filed under: uncultured bacterium
Lineage: Bacteria
Description: partial 16S ribosomal RNA
Rfam family: Bacterial small subunit ribosomal RNA
Source: RNAcentral